AAGAUUCUGGCUCAGUGGUAGAGCACUUGCCUAAUAUGUGGAAGGUCCUGAGUUCAAUCUCAAGAAUCUCA
This 71-nucleotide transfer RNA is filed under the name Cavia porcellus (domestic guinea pig). It matches the Rfam family "tRNA". From Rfam's summary of the family: Transfer RNA (tRNA) molecules are approximately 80 nucleotides in length. Their secondary structure includes four short double-helical elements and three loops (D, anti-codon, and T loops). Further hydrogen bonds mediate the characteristic L-shaped molecular structure. tRNAs have two regions of fundamental functional importance: the anti-codon, which is responsible for specific mRNA codon recognition, and the 3' end, to which the tRNAs corresponding amino acid is attached (by aminoacyl-tRNA synthetases). tRNAs cope with the degeneracy of the genetic code in two manners: having more than one tRNA (with a specific anti-codon) for a particular amino acid; and 'wobble' base-pairing, i.e. permitting non-standard base-pairing at the 3rd anti-codon position. Lineage: Eukaryota; Metazoa; Chordata; Mammalia; Rodentia; Caviidae. The record is from Rfam by way of RNAcentral.